This 2000-nucleotide long non-coding RNA is filed under the name Homo sapiens (human). RNAcentral's name for it is "non-protein coding lnc-GMDS-15:2". Lineage: Eukaryota; Metazoa; Chordata; Mammalia; Primates; Hominidae. The record is from RNAcentral.
CCCUGAGCCGGCUCCUUCUCCCUAAGCUCCACAGUAAUUAGACAAAGAAAACCUAAAUUAGCUGAACAGGCGUCGACAGCUUCCUCCAGAGCACCCCUGGUACCUACAUGGGAAUGUGUCCGAAAAUGGCUUGAUUGUAGCCGAGAGUCAGCUAAGAAAACACCGCCAAACCGAACUCAGUUUACCACUCAUUUCCAAUAGAAAAAAGAAACAAGUCGCUCUUUUCCGGGUGGGAUGUUUUGAUUGGGUUGGGGUAGGGCUUCGCAGUUGUUUCCACUUUCUAAGAAUUUCUGACUGACUGCUGAGCGUUUUUGGGGGGUGCGUCCCCAUAUAUUUCAUGGUAUUUUUUUCUCUUGCCCUCAUUUGUCAUUUUGUGUGGAAUAACUUAAAAAUACAUAACUAAAUAUGAAAGUAAAUAUAAUGUGUUCACUAAACCAAUGCUCUAAGUGCCUAAAAUAUAAUUAUUUUCAUAAAAUAGAAGCUGGAGUGGGGAGGACAGAUAGGAUCUUAAAGGAGCUCUACUGACAUAGAGUUCAGUGUGUGUGUGUGUGUGUGUGUGUGUGUGUGUGUGCUUUAAAUGGAAAGAGCCCAGGGGAGAAGCUUGUGGGGGAAAAGGACAAUUAUCUCAUUUGUAGGUGGGGGCGGUGGGCAACGGGCUUUGGAAACAUUCAGUACUCAUUGUCACUUAGCCAUGGACUCUCUCUGAUUCUCUGUGCCUGAAAAUUAUAUGUAUUUGGAUCUCAGGGAAUACAGAUCCAACUUGUUAAGAGCAGGCCUUAAAAGGUUUUAGGACCCGGAGACUGAAGAAUAAAAGGCGCUAACCUUAAAAUCCAGGCAGGACCAGUGAUAACCUUCUAUACUAGUAGCUCCCAGUUUUGGGGUUAUGGGGUCAUCCUCUGAGAAUACGAUGGAAGCUAUGGAGCCAGUUUCCAGAAAAAUACUUCCAACUUGCCUGAGAUUUUAGGAAGUCCACAGGUACUCAUUAAAACAAACAAGGAAACAAGCAAAAAACCCCAGAUUCUUUUAGCUUCUACCAAUUCAGCUGGUUAAAUUAUGAGGGAUUUUUUUAAAAGGCUCCUUUCUCCAUCCAAGCAACAGCAGUAUCCAUUUUACCUAAACUCUAAACUUGCAAGAAAUCCCACUUAGAGUGUGGUGAGUGUUAUGAGGGCCGGCCAGGUCGUGGGAAGGCAGUGGACAUUGGAGAGCAGUUAGGGCCAGGAGGCGGUCAGCUGACUGGAAGCCUUCCCUCUCUGUAGGGGUCUGCAUACUGCCCCUGUAGACCCUGAACUCCAGAAAGAUAAGCAGCUUGGGGGCCUUCUUAAGUUAUAUCAGCAGGAAGGCUCCUCUCCAAAACUCUUUCUUGGAUACCCCACUUCUGCUUCUGGAAACUAUUCUCAUGGCAUAGACCACCACCACGUCUACAGUGACUAAACCCUGCAUCUGUUUGUUACAGACCUCGCAGGUACCAUCUUGUCACCCACCAAGUGGCCCAGGUAUCAUCAUCCUCCUUUUGAGGUGAGGAAACUAAGGCUCAGAGACUGGGUGACUGGCUACAAGUCACGCUGGGGCAAGUGACAAAGCUGGCCAGCAGCCUGGGCCUGGAACUCCAAAGUCAGUGUUCCUUCCACUGCAUUACAGCAAAGCCUCUCUGAGCUUUGUUUUAAUCACUGAUAUAUACAAAUCUCUUGAGUAAGAAUGUAUGUGAUAGCAAAUUAUGUCAAUUUCUGUAUCCCUGGGAGGAAUACCUUAAUUUCUGGUUAGCAGACAGGGUUUAAAAGGAAAGCUGUGUUUGUCUCUGAAACAGAGCCUUGCUUAGGAUGGCUCCCCCACCCCCCUACUGGGGUUCCUUCUUAUGGGGGUGAGCUCUUCACUCACUUUCACUCCCUAUAAAUAACAUGAAUCUUGACAUUUUUUUUCUUACGGGAAGGGAAGGUAUGGUUCAUAUAAAUGAGUCUAGAUCAGCCCAGGCAGUCCUUGGUUAACCAAAACUAUGCAGCCUC